RNAcentral lists this ribosomal RNA (253 nucleotides) under uncultured bacterium. RNAcentral describes it as "partial 16S ribosomal RNA". It matches the Rfam family "Bacterial small subunit ribosomal RNA", at positions 524 to 776 of the family's 1533-position model. The record is from RNAcentral.
UACGUAGGUGGCAAGCGUUGUCCGGAUUUACUGGGCGUAAAGAGCGCGCAGGCGGUCGUUCAAGUCGCGUGUGAAGGCCCCCGGCUCAACUGGGGAGGGUCACGCGAUACUGAUCGACUCGAAGGCAGGAGAGGGUAGUGGAAUUCCCGGUGUAGUGGUGAAAUGCGUAGAUAUCAGGAGGAACACCGAUAGCGAAGGCAGCUCGCUGGGACGGUACUGACGCUGAGACGCGAAAGCGUGGGGAGCAAACAGG